UACAGAGGUCUCAAGCGUUGUCCGGAAUCACUUGGCGUAAAGCGCGCGCAGGCGGCGAUCUACGUCUGGGGUGAAAGCCCGGAGCUCAACUCCGGGACUGCCUUGGAUACGGGAUCGCUUGAGGAUUGGAGAGGCAAGGGGAAUUCCACGUGUAGCGGUGAAAUGCGUAGAUAUGUGGAGGAACACCUGUGGCGAAGGCGCCUUGCUGGCCAAUUUCUGACGCUGAGGCGCGAAAGCGUGGGGAGCAAACAGG
This 253-nucleotide ribosomal RNA is filed under the name uncultured bacterium. Its description in RNAcentral is "partial 16S ribosomal RNA". It matches the Rfam family "Bacterial small subunit ribosomal RNA", at positions 524 to 776 of the family's 1533-position model. The record is from RNAcentral.